AGCCCCGUACACAAAAAUGCACAUGCUGUGAGCUCGAUGAGUAGGGCGGGACACGUGGUAUCCUGUCUGAAUAUGGGGGGACCAUCCUCCAAGGCUAAAUACUCCUGACUGACCGAUAGUGAACCAGUACCGUGAGGGAAAGGCGAAAAGAACCCCGGCGAGGGGAGUGAAAAAGAACCUGAAACCGUGUACGUACAAGCAGUGGGAGCACGCUUAGGCGUGUGACUGCGUACCUUUUGUAUAAUGGGUCAGCGACUUAUAUUCUGUAGCAAGGUUAACCGAAUAGGGGAGCCGAAGGGAAACCGAGUCUUAACUGGGCGUUAAGUUGCAGGGUAUAGACCCGAAACCCGGUGAUCUAGCCAUGGGCAGGUUGAAGGUUGGGUAACACUAACUGGAGGACCGAACCGACUAAUGUUGAAAAAUUAGCGGAUGACUUGUGGCUGGGGGUGAAAGGCCAAUCAAACCGGGAGAUAGCUGGUUCUCCCCGAAAGCUAUUUAGGUAGCGCCUCGUGAAUUCAUCUCCGGGGGUAGAGCACUGUUUCGGCAAGGGGGUCAUCCCGACUUACCAACCCGAUGCAAACUGCGAAUACCGGAGAAUGUUAUCACGGGAGACACACGGCGGGUGCUAACGUCCGUCGUGAAGAGGGAAACAACCCAGACCGCCAGCUAAGGUCCCAAAGUCAUGGUUAAGUGGGAAACGAUGUGGGAAGGCCCAGACAGCCAGGAUGUUGGCUUAGAAGCAGCCAUCAUUUAAAGAAAGCGUAAUAGCUCACUGGUCGAGUCGGCCUG
This 789-nucleotide ribosomal RNA is filed under the name Escherichia coli. RNAcentral describes it as "partial 23S ribosomal RNA". It matches the Rfam family "Bacterial large subunit ribosomal RNA", at positions 369 to 1161 of the family's 2925-position model. Lineage: Bacteria; Pseudomonadati; Pseudomonadota; Gammaproteobacteria; Enterobacterales; Enterobacteriaceae. The record is from RNAcentral.